GUGGAUUAGAUACCCUGGUAGUCCACGCCGUAAACGAUGAUAACUAGCUGUCGGGGCUCUUAGAGUUUCGGUGGCGCAGCUAACGCAUUAAGUUAUCCGCCUGGGGAGUACGGUCGCAAGAUUAAAACUCAAAGGAAUUGACGGGGGCCUGCACAAGCGGUGGAGCAUGUGGUUUAAUUCGAAGCAACGCGCAGAACCUUACCAGCGUUUGACAUGGUAGGACGACUUCCAGAGAUGGAUUUCUCCCUUCGGGGCCUACACACAGGUGCUGCAUGGCCGUCGUCAGCU
Molecule: ribosomal RNA, 288 nt
Filed under: uncultured bacterium
Lineage: Bacteria
Description: partial 16S ribosomal RNA
Rfam family: Bacterial small subunit ribosomal RNA
Source: RNAcentral